GAUGAAGAACGCAGCGAAAUGCGAUAAGUAAUGUGAAUUGCAGAAUUCAGUGAAUCAUCGAAUCUUUGAACGCACAUUGCGCCCGCUAGUAUUCUGGCGGGCAUGCCUGUCCGAGCGUCAUUUCAACCCUCAAGCCCCCGGGCUUGGUGUUGGGGAUCGGCGAGCCUCCGCGCCCGCCGUCCCCUAAAUCUAGUGGCGGUCUCGCUGUAGCUUCCUCUGCGUAGUAGCACACCUCGCACUGGGAAACAGCGCGGUCACGCCGUUAAACCCCCAACUUCUGAACGUUUGACCUCGGAUCAGGUAGGAAUACCCGCUGAACUUAAGCAUAUCAAUAAGCGGAGGA
RNAcentral lists this unclassified non-coding RNA (343 nucleotides) under soil metagenome. Its description in RNAcentral is "partial contains 5.8S ribosomal RNA, internal transcribed spacer 2, and large subunit ribosomal RNA". The stretch from base 1 to 120 matches the Rfam family "5.8S ribosomal RNA", at positions 35 to 154 of the family's 154-position model. The record is from RNAcentral.